AUUGGGCCUAAAGCAUCCGUAGCCGGCUCUGUAAGUUUUCGGUUAAAUCUGUACGCUUAACGUACAGGCUGCCGGGAAUACUGCAGAGCUAGGUAGUGGGAGAGGUAGACGGUACUCGGUAGGAAGGGGUAAAAUCCUUUGAUCUAUUGAUGACCACCUGUGGCGAAGGCGGUCUACCAGAACACGUACGACGGUGAGGGAUGAAAGCUGGGGGAGCAAACCGGAUUAGAUACCCGGGUAGUCCCAGCUGUAAACUAUGCAAACUCAGUGAUGCAUUGGCUUGUGGCCAAUGCAGUGCUGCAGGGAAGCCGUUAAGUUUGCCGCCUGGGAAGUACGUACGCAAGUAUGAAACUUAAAGGAAUUGGCGGGGGAGCACCACAAGGGGUGAAGCCUGCGGUUCAAUUGGAGUCAACGCCAGAAAUCUUACCCGGAGAGACAGCAGAAUGAAGGUCAAGCUGAAGACUUUACCAGACAAGCUGAGAGGUGGUGCAUGGCCGUCGCCAGCUCGUGCCGUGAGAUGUCCUGUUAAGUCAGGUAACGAGCGAGAUCCCUGCCUCUAGUUGCCACCAUUACUCUCAGGAGUAGUGGGGCGAAUUAGCGGGACCGCCGCAGUUAAUGCGGAGGAAGGAAGGGGCCACGGCAGGUCAGUAUGCCCCGAAACUCUGGGGCCACACGCGGGCUGCAAUGGUAACGACAAUGGGUUUCGAAUUCGAAAGGAUGAGGUAAUCCUCAAACGUUACCACAGUUAUGACUGAGGGCUGCAACUCGCCCUCACGAAUAUGGAAUCCCUAGUAACUGCGUGUCACUAUCGCGCGGUGAAUACGUCCCUGCUCCU
This 835-nucleotide ribosomal RNA is filed under the name uncultured archaeon. Its description in RNAcentral is "SSU rRNA". It matches the Rfam family "Archaeal small subunit ribosomal RNA", at positions 503 to 1337 of the family's 1478-position model. The record is from RNAcentral.